GGGGGGGGGGGGGGGGGGGGCGGGGGGGGGGGGGGGGGGCGGGGGGGGGGGGGGGGGGCGCGGAUGUGAAGGGCGGCGGACGGGUGAGUAACGCGUGGGGAAUCUGCCGGUGAGCGGGGGACAACAUUUGGAAACGAAUGCUAAUACCGCAUAAUAACUUUAAACAUAAGUUUCAAGUGUGCAAGAUGCAAUUGCAUCACUCAAAGAGGAUCCCGCGUUGUAUUAGCUAGUUGGUGAGGUAAAGGCUCACCAAGGCGAUGAUACAUAGCCGACCUGAGAGGGUGAUCGGCCACAUUGGGACUGAGACACGGCCCAAACUCCUACGGGAGGCAGCAGUAGGGAAUCUUCGGCAAUGGACGAAAGUCUGACCGAGCAACGCCGCGUGAGUGAAGAAGGUUUUCGGAUCGUAAAACUCUGUUGGUAGAGAAGAACGUUGGUGAGAGUGGAAAGCUCAUCAAGUGACGGUAACUACCCAGGAAGGGACGGCUAACUACGUG
This 497-nucleotide ribosomal RNA is filed under the name uncultured bacterium. Its description in RNAcentral is "partial 16S ribosomal RNA". The stretch from base 54 to 497 matches the Rfam family "Bacterial small subunit ribosomal RNA", at positions 38 to 507 of the family's 1533-position model. The record is from RNAcentral.